GGAGAAAUGGCAGAGUGGCUGAAUGCAGCGGUAAUUUAUUACUGUAGAGGGUUAAACCUCCGAGGGUUCGAAUCCCUUCUUUCUCCG
This 87-nucleotide transfer RNA is filed under the name Aureibaculum flavum. RNAcentral's name for it is "Aureibaculum sp. A20 tRNA-Lys". It matches the Rfam family "tRNA". Rfam says of the family: Transfer RNA (tRNA) molecules are approximately 80 nucleotides in length. Their secondary structure includes four short double-helical elements and three loops (D, anti-codon, and T loops). Further hydrogen bonds mediate the characteristic L-shaped molecular structure. tRNAs have two regions of fundamental functional importance: the anti-codon, which is responsible for specific mRNA codon recognition, and the 3' end, to which the tRNAs corresponding amino acid is attached (by aminoacyl-tRNA synthetases). tRNAs cope with the degeneracy of the genetic code in two manners: having more than one tRNA (with a specific anti-codon) for a particular amino acid; and 'wobble' base-pairing, i.e. permitting non-standard base-pairing at the 3rd anti-codon position. Lineage: Bacteria; Pseudomonadati; Bacteroidota; Flavobacteriia; Flavobacteriales; Flavobacteriaceae. The record is from RNAcentral.